AUUGAACGCUGGCGGCAUGCCUUACACAUGCAAGUCGAACGGUAACGCGGGGCAACCUGGCGACGAGUGGCGAACGGGUGAGUAACGCAUCGGAACGUGCCCAGUAGUGGGGGAUAGCCCGGCGAAAGCCGGAUUAAUACCGCAUACGACCUACGGGUGAAAGGGGGGGAUCGCAAGACCUCUCGCUAUUGGAGCGGCCGAUGUCAGAUUAGGUAGUUGGUGGGGUAAAGGCCUACCAAGCCUGCGAUCUGUAGCUGGUCUGAGAGGACGACCAGCCACACUGGGACUGAGACACGGCCCAGACUCCUACGGGAGGCAGCAGUGGGGAAUUUUGGACAAUGGGCGCAAGCCUGAUCCAGCCAUGCCGCGUGCGGGAAGAAGGCCUUCGGGUUAUAAACCGCUUUUGUCAGGGAAGAAAAGCCUUGGGUUAAUACCCUGGGGUGAUGACGGUACCUGAAGAAUAAGCACCGGCUAACUACGUGCCAGCAGCCGCGGUAA
RNAcentral lists this ribosomal RNA (498 nucleotides) under uncultured bacterium. Its description in RNAcentral is "partial 16S ribosomal RNA". It matches the Rfam family "Bacterial small subunit ribosomal RNA", at positions 29 to 523 of the family's 1533-position model. The record is from RNAcentral.